Long non-coding RNA from Mastomys coucha (southern multimammate mouse), 681 nucleotides. RefSeq lists it as uncharacterized. NCBI's taxonomy places the organism in Eukaryota, Metazoa, Chordata, Mammalia, Rodentia, Muridae. The record is from RefSeq and is a predicted model, not a curated record. The transcript is spliced from 2 exons.
GACACGCGGUAUGAAUCACAUCCUGCUUCAGUGAGCCUUUGACGAGAUGUUGCAGAAAACAGCGUGGGGGCCUGUGUGCAACUUGCUGUCACUCAGUGCUGGAGACCAGGGGCAGGAGGCCUCCAGAGGCUCCUUCCACACAGCGAGAAAAGAAGAAAGACUGAUGGUCGGGUCCCAGUGAUUCAAAAAGAAGAAAGACUGACGGCUGGGUCCCAGUGAUUCAAAAUUCAUUUUUCUAGCUCUGCAUCUACUCCUGGGAUAUGUGCUAGCUCUGAGGUCGACACCCUGAACUUCUGGGAUGCCAGGAAUGUGGGAUUCAGAGAGGCCAAUUCUUCUGGAGACAGUUCCACACCAAGGAUGCUUAGAGAAUGACUUUCCCAAGGACACAAUCCCUGUCUUCUAGGUGCCUGGACUCUCCAUGGAGCUGGUGCUAACAGCACAUGCUGGGUGCUCCUGAAACGAAGUUCUAGAACCCACAGCCAUCGAACAGGACUCUAGUGGAAAAGCAAUGUCCUGAACGUUUGCUUGUCUAUUUUUUGAGGCAGGUCUCCUGUCACCCAUGCUGGCCUUGGACUUACUAUAUAGUUAAGUAUGAUCUUGAACCUCUCAUGCUCCUGCCUCUGCCUCCUGAGUGUUGGGAAUAACUGGUGUGUUUCCUAAAAGCAAGACUGUUUCUUCAUA